This is a non-coding RNA of Schistosoma mansoni, 46 nucleotides long. NCBI's taxonomy places the organism in Eukaryota, Metazoa, Platyhelminthes, Trematoda, Strigeidida, Schistosomatidae. The record is from Rfam.
GCACUGCUGAGGAGUCCCACAAUAGGACAAAACGGCCGCCCAGUGC